This is a long non-coding RNA of Gadus macrocephalus (Pacific cod), 1278 nucleotides long. RefSeq lists it as uncharacterized. The record is from RefSeq and is a predicted model, not a curated record. Lineage: Eukaryota; Metazoa; Chordata; Actinopteri; Gadiformes; Gadidae. The transcript is spliced from 2 exons.
ACGAGGUAAAACGUGUGGCUGGCGCACGAUUCAUUGCAUCUCGUAGAGUAGCAUUCACUGGUAGACAGGCAGGCCUCUAGAUUGUUUAUUAUGAUUUAAUGAAGUGUUCCUAUGUGACGCUGAUGGGCCCUGGUUGCUGCUAAAUGCUUGUUGAAAGUGCAUUGUGCACUUUUUGUAUGUAGCUACAAAAUGAGGGUGGAUAUCACUUUAUAGUUUAUAGGCAUUAUAUACUAAUAAGAAUCAUUGACAAAUCACAUUCCCCUUUUACCACCACAGGACGCACCUCACCAGUAUCAGAGCAACAGCUGUGGGGUUUUUAUGCUGAUGGUGAGAUGCAUUAUUUUCAGAAAUGAUGACUGAUGACUAGUUUGUAAAACAACUAACUCAUUUGUAUGUUAAUUUCAGUACGCAAUGUAUUCUACCCUCAAAAGCAAUAUGAUUUCAGUGAGGUGAGUUCUUUCAAAUCUCAAUCAGAUGUGUAGCAUGAAAUAUAAGGCUUUUAAUAAUUUAGUCAUCCUUACUGGAGGCUACAAUUAACAUGCAUCAUAGGUCAUACACAUUACUUUGUCUUCAGGUACUGCACUUACGGGAGGAGAUGGCUACAUCUUCACAAUAAUUUACACUGCCAUAGUACACUGCUAAACAGUACUGUAACAUGGAUUUGUAUUAGGCUAUGAAGUCAUUUAAAGCAUAACUUUACUUUUCAGGGGGACAUGCUCUCUAUCAGGAGGUGGUGGUUGGACAGCUGUUGGAGACCUUUAUACUUGAAAGGUUUAUAUACUGUGUCCAUGUUGCUAUUUACUUAUUUUUGGUGCUCACGAAGAUCGUAGCCAAUACACUUGUCUCUCUGUCUCUAGCCCUGCAGAACUAGCUGGCUCCUUCUCACCCUCUCCAUCUCCCCAUCUCAGUCACACCUUCCCAUCACUAAGCAGUGAAAGCCCUGCAGGACUAGCUGGCACACCAAGCUCACCCUCUCCAUCUCCCCAUCUCAGCCACACGCUCCAAUCUGGCACAACAGAGGACAGGCCAUUCUUACCACCCGAAGUCCUUCAGCAAAUUGUACAAGAGACGCUGAGACUGGACAUGGCGAUGCUUGGCGUGUUCAACAGGGUUUCAAACACAUUCCGAGAACUAAUCAAGCCUCUCCAUCCUUCCAUAUAUAUAAAUGACAGUUUGGCAGGGGACAUUAAGCUUAAUAAAGACAAUCUCAUAUACAUAACGGUUAGAAAGAUUUACAACAAUGCAGGCUGUGGCAGUGGCCUUGCGCUACGCCUCAAA